Molecule: ribosomal RNA, 1504 nt
Filed under: Helicobacter pylori India7
Lineage: Bacteria; Pseudomonadati; Campylobacterota; Epsilonproteobacteria; Campylobacterales; Helicobacteraceae
Description: bacterial SSU rRNA
Rfam family: Bacterial small subunit ribosomal RNA
Source: RNAcentral
UUUAUGGAGAGUUUGAUCCUGGCUCAGAGUGAACGCUGGCGGCGUGCCUAAUACAUGCAAGUCGAACGAUGAAGCUUCUAGCUUGCUAGAAUGCUGAUUAGUGGCGCACGGGUGAGUAACGCAUAGGUCAUGUGCCUCUUAGUUUGGGAUAGCCAUUGGAAACGAUGAUUAAUACCAGAUACUCCCUACGGGGGAAAGAUUUAUCGCUAAGAGAUCAGCCUAUGUCCUAUCAGCUUGUUGGUAAGGUAAUGGCUUACCAAGGCUAUGACGGGUAUCCGGCCUGAGAGGGUGAACGGACACACUGGAACUGAGACACGGUCCAGACUCCUACGGGAGGCAGCAGUAGGGAAUAUUGCUCAAUGGGGGAAACCCUGAAGCAGCAACGCCGCGUGGAGGAUGAAGGUUCUAGGAUUGUAAACUCCUUUUGUUAGAGAAGAUAAUGACGGUAUCUAACGAAUAAGCACCGGCUAACUCCGUGCCAGCAGCCGCGGUAAUACGGAGGGUGCAAGCGUUACUCGGAAUCACUGGGCGUAAAGAGCGCGUAGGCGGGAUAGUCAGUCAGGUGUGAAAUCCUAUGGCUUAACCAUAGAACUGCAUUUGAAACUACUAUUCUAGAGUGUGGGAGAGGUAGGUGGAAUUCUUGGUGUAGGGGUAAAAUCCGUAGAGAUCAAGAGGAAUACUCAUUGCGAAGGCGACCUGCUGGAACAUUACUGACGCUGAUUGCGCGAAAGCGUGGGGAGCAAACAGGAUUAGAUACCCUGGUAGUCCACGCCCUAAACGAUGGAUGCUAGUUGUUGGAGGGCUUAGUCUCUCCAGUAAUGCAGCUAACGCAUUAAGCAUCCCGCCUGGGGAGUACGGUCGCAAGAUUAAAACUCAAAGGAAUAGACGGGGACCCGCACAAGCGGUGGAGCAUGUGGUUUAAUUCGAAGAUACACGAAGAACCUUACCUAGGCUUGACAUUGAGAGAAUCCGCUAGAAAUAGUGGAGUGUCUGGCUUGCCAGACCUUGAAAACAGGUGCUGCACGGCUGUCGUCAGCUCGUGUCGUGAGAUGUUGGGUUAAGUCCCGCAACGAGCGCAACCCCCUUUCUUAGUUGCUAACAGGUCAUGCUGAGAACUCUAAGGAUACUGCCUCCGUAAGGAGGAGGAAGGUGGGGACGACGUCAAGUCAUCAUGGCCCUUACGCCUAGGGCUACACACGUGCUACAAUGGGGUGCACAAAGAGAAGCAAUACUGCGAAGUGGAGCCAAUCUUCAAAACACCUCUCAGUUCGGAUUGUAGGCUGCAACUCGCCUGCAUGAAGCUGGAAUCGCUAGUAAUCGCAAAUCAGCCAUGUUGCGGUGAAUACGUUCCCGGGUCUUGUACUCACCGCCCGUCACACCAUGGGAGUUGUGUUUGCCUUAAGUCAGGAUGCUAAAUUGGCUACUGCCCACGGCACACACAGCGACUGGGGUGAAGUCGUAACAAGGUAACCGUAGGUGAACCUGCGGUUGGAUCACCUCCUUU